UACAGAGGUCUCAAGCGUUGUUCGGAUUCAUUGGGCGUAAAGGGUGCGUAGGCGGCGCGGUAAGUCGGGUGUGAAAUCUCGGAGCUUAACUCCGAAACUGCAUUCGAUACUGUCGUGCUUGAGGACUGGAGAGGAGACUGGAAUUUACGGUGUAGCGGUGAAAUGCGUAGAUAUCGUAAGGAAGACCAGUGGCGAAGGCGGGUCUCUGGACAGUUCCUGACGCUGAGGCACGAAGGCCAGGGGAGCAAACGGG
This 253-nucleotide ribosomal RNA is filed under the name uncultured bacterium. Its description in RNAcentral is "partial 16S ribosomal RNA". It matches the Rfam family "Bacterial small subunit ribosomal RNA", at positions 524 to 776 of the family's 1533-position model. The record is from RNAcentral.